CCGCCCCCAAAAAGUGGCCUAAGAAUGUUCAGAAACAACUCGAAGGUGUAUUUCCUGGAUUGUAUUUGGUUGGAGUUGCGGCCGACUCUUAUCGGGUUAUGAUGUCUUGAGGUAGAUCCGAUGUUGAUAUAAAGAUUCUAAAGCAAAUGGUUCCUUGGUGGUAGAGGUAUAGUAUUGGUGCAAACAAGGAUGACAGUAAUGGUGAAACAGAUUAAUGGUUAUAUAUAGUAUUUAAUUUCUAUCUUCGGUAGCUUAUUUUGGGCAUUAUCUAGAAUUUAGGGGCUUAAGCAGUGGUUCACUUUUAUUAGUGGCGCUUAUCAUGUAAGCUUUAAGCUUUUUGUGAAUGAAUUCGUUGGAUCCAGCAUUUGUUGCAAUGCAAAUACCAUAUUGGCUUUAA
Salvia splendens (bonfire salvia) is the source of this 397-nucleotide long non-coding RNA. RefSeq lists it as uncharacterized. The transcript is spliced from 3 exons. The record is from RefSeq and is a predicted model, not a curated record. Lineage: Eukaryota; Viridiplantae; Streptophyta; Magnoliopsida; Lamiales; Lamiaceae.